This 67-nucleotide transfer RNA is filed under the name Breviscolex orientalis. RNAcentral describes it as "tRNA-Gln". The record is from RNAcentral. Lineage: Eukaryota; Metazoa; Platyhelminthes; Cestoda; Caryophyllidea; Capingentidae.
UUUGGCGUGGUGUAUUGGCAUUUCAUGGUUUGGUCGUGGGGGUUGGUUAGUUUCCCGCCUUUUCUGU